UGCAAGGGGAAAUGUGAUUGGCUCUUUGUCUUUGGACUGACGUCACUGGUGAAUACAGCGUGAGCGCGCAUUUUCUAAUGGCUGCUGAUCACUGUGAGUACGAUUUCAUACUUUUGUCUCAAACAGUCCUCAUUGUUUUCCUUUAAUAAACAAAGUAUGUAACCGUUAGCAAGAAAACCACAUGUAAGAUUAAGCUGUGUCUGACGUUAGGAUCAUGUUAUUGUUCCGGUCAAUCGCAACCGCCAUUGCCACAUUUAUUAACAGUUCUAAGACGUGAAAAGUGCAAAGACGUGCGUAAUAGGAUCAUGAUAGAUCAUAUAUUAUGUAAAAAAAAAGUUAAUGUAAGUUUUGCCUGUGUUAGCGUAUUCAUUUAUGCCACGUAUAACCGAUCACGGCCGCCGCAUUUCAUCUAUAUAAUUCGUUACAGUUACGUGGAAACAUGCUUUAUGAGGUCGUCACGUAUAAAGUUUAAUAUUGAUGCUGUAUUCGAUGAGUCAUCCGCGUUAUCUUUUGUGUAAACUGAUUAUUUUUUCAGUGGUGGUUAUGUGUCGUCAGAUGUUUAGCAUAACAUAACCUGAGCUGUUUUUAACAUUUUUUUUUUUUACUUUUUUUUCUUGUAAGUGAAGUAUUAACUGACUAGAAUACAUUGAGAUUUGCCCCUUCGGAAAUACGAAUUCAUGUUAGUUGGCAGUUUUUAAAGAUAUGCAACCUCGUGCUCAUCAGUCUUAGCAAGUGAAUUUUCAGUUAAUUAGAAUGAAAGCUAAAUAAUUAACUGUAGCUCUCUAAUUCUUUUGAUUAACAAUAGCUGUUUGUGGGAAAUUUGGAGAUAACAGAUCAAAUUAUGUAAAUGUGUUUUGUCAGCUAGUAAUCUAAUGUAUAUUUUUGUAACUGUAGAUUGCAGAAAGAUCAAAGCAAGGCCAACCAGGAUGAGAUGAAAAUGUGUAUCAAGAGUUCAACCAGAUAGUGUGGAAGAAUCUUAAGCAAGAAUUAUAUUGGUCUCUUGAUCAUCACUGCCCACAGCUGAUUCGGAUCUUCAGGUCAAAGAGAGGAUUCACUGGACAGAUUUUUAUCUUCUACAAAAUAUCAAGGUUUGUGUAUGCCAUUGUUUGUACAUGCCUUUGACAUAAAUUGAUGCCAUUGUGUGCUGAAUUCUGAAAUUUAUAUAAUUACUUUAGAAAUCCUCAGUGACAGAGACUAAAUUUUAAUACAUGAAAAUGCCCUUUCUCUCAUGUUGACAAAUGAUACAAUGUUGUUUCUCUGCAACACCUCAGGCGUCUGACCUCACUGACAUGCCUUGUGUUGCCAUUUGAGUGCUUCCAGUAGUUGUUGGUGAUGACCCAACAGUUCUUCAAAGCAUGUUUUGCUUCAGAUGAUGGAGACUCAAAUCAACAUGUGCCCGUUGGAAUUCUUAACCAAGAAAAUUAAGAUGUGGCUCUGCAACCCCUGUCCUUCCACCUCCACCCAUUCUCUGGGAAUCAUCUUGGAGGGAAAUGUUGUAAUGGACAAUAUAGACAAUAUACCCCAGGCCAAGUGUCUUUUUGGAUCAACCUAUGCACUGCACCUAGGCUACACAAAAUGCAUGGACAAUACCCUUCUUUUUAUUCAACAAGUUUGGGUAAGAAGAUGCUGAAGGGUAAGAUUCUGGCUGUUAAAAAUCAACUUGUCAUGUAAACUGGUACAGAAAAGGCAUGUUCCUUCAGGCUUGCUGUCCUAACUGUGAGAUAAAAAAAAUUAAAACUAUGCUUUAGUGUUUGGCAAGUGUAAAUAUUCCAUAAUGUUAAAAUGUAAUAACAUCCUGUGGUUGUUUAUUUUUUGGAUAUGUUUGUAAAAAUGUAUUUAAAAAUUUUAAACAAGUGUUUUAAUAAGAUUUAUAACAAUAAAUAUUGACUAAUUGUUAUACAAGGCAUUUUCUAGUUUUGUCACUUGUUUCGGAGUGAUAUUUCUAAAUGAUUUUAAAUAAACUGUAAAGUAAAUUUUUA
Non-coding RNA from Danio rerio (zebrafish), 1979 nucleotides. Lineage: Eukaryota; Metazoa; Chordata; Actinopteri; Cypriniformes; Danionidae. The record is from RefSeq and is a predicted model, not a curated record.